CAGCAGCCACGGUAAUACGUAGGGUGCAAGCGUUAAUCGGAAUUACUGGGCGUAAAGCGUGCGCAGGCGGUUUGUUAAGACAGAUGUGAAAUCCCCGGGCUCAACCUGGGAACUGCAUUUGUGACUGGCAAGCUAGAGUAUGGCAGAGGGGGGUGGAAUUCCGCGUGUAGCAGUGAAAUGCGUAGAUAUGCGGAGGAACACCGAUGGCGAAGGCAACCCCCUGGGCCAAUACUGACGCUCAUGCACGAAAGCGUGGGGAGCAAACAGGAUUAGAGACCCCAGUAGUCCCUGUCUCUUAUAC
Molecule: ribosomal RNA, 301 nt
Filed under: uncultured bacterium
Lineage: Bacteria
Description: partial 16S ribosomal RNA
Rfam family: Bacterial small subunit ribosomal RNA
Source: RNAcentral